Molecule: transfer RNA, 77 nt
Filed under: Pseudomonas aeruginosa
Lineage: Bacteria; Pseudomonadati; Pseudomonadota; Gammaproteobacteria; Pseudomonadales; Pseudomonadaceae
Also listed under: 6 other names
Description: tRNA-Val
Rfam family: tRNA
About the family: Transfer RNA (tRNA) molecules are approximately 80 nucleotides in length. Their secondary structure includes four short double-helical elements and three loops (D, anti-codon, and T loops). Further hydrogen bonds mediate the characteristic L-shaped molecular structure. tRNAs have two regions of fundamental functional importance: the anti-codon, which is responsible for specific mRNA codon recognition, and the 3' end, to which the tRNAs corresponding amino acid is attached (by aminoacyl-tRNA synthetases). tRNAs cope with the degeneracy of the genetic code in two manners: having more than one tRNA (with a specific anti-codon) for a particular amino acid; and 'wobble' base-pairing, i.e. permitting non-standard base-pairing at the 3rd anti-codon position.
Source: RNAcentral
AGGCGCGUAGCUCAGUUGGUUAGAGCACCACCUUGACAUGGUGGGGGUCGUUGGUUCGAAUCCAAUCGUGCCUACCA